AUAGCUUCAUAACCAUCUCCAUCUUCUUCAAUUUGUUUGCCUCUUCUGUCUCUUGGCAAUUUUUUUCCAAGUUUUCUAACUCUUUCUCUUUCAAUUGCUUGAAAUCAUUCCACUCUUCAUUAACGACUUCCAAGCAUGCAUCACCCUUACCUUUUUUUAACUUUCUUUUUAGACGCAUCCCUCCCAUGGGACGAGCACUAGAUCAUACAGAGUUUGAGUCACUUGCAUUAGUAUUGUGAGCUCUCUUAGAUCCACUGCUUCCAGACCCCGUUUUUUCUCCUACCUGACUACUAUAGCGUGGUUGAUCAUGAACAGCGAGUCACUCUAACAUUAAAUUAAAAUACACAUUCUUACCAUUUGAAUAUAGUUCAUGUGCUUUUGCGAAUACAUCAAUCUCUGACCAUCCGCUUUAUUACAUACACUUAGCAUUAUCGUAAGCGCCAAUCCAUUUGCCCAAUAUUUUAUUCACGUAGUUGAAAUGAUUUCUGCACGUAACUCCAUCAUACGGAGGAUCAAAUGAGCAUUGCUGAUUACAAUAUUCAGCAAUUUUACCCCAGUAUGAUUCACUCUUUUGGUUUCUUUCAACAAUGCUAUAUGUUCCAUAUUUAAUUCAUCCACUCAAAAACACCAAAUUUUGCUUAGUUGUCCAUUUGGGGA
Arabidopsis thaliana (thale cress) is the source of this 657-nucleotide long non-coding RNA. RefSeq annotates it as other RNA. The record is from RefSeq. The transcript has a single exon. Lineage: Eukaryota; Viridiplantae; Streptophyta; Magnoliopsida; Brassicales; Brassicaceae.